CACCGCGGUUAUACGAUAGGCCCAAGUUGACAGACCCCGGCGUAAAGCGUGGUUAAGGAAAACUAUAAACUAAAGCCGAACACCUUCAAGGCAGUCAUACGUUUCCGAAGGCACGAAGCCCCUCCACGAAAGUGGCUUUACUCAUCCUGACCCCACGAAAGCUAGGACA
RNAcentral lists this ribosomal RNA (169 nucleotides) under Rastrelliger kanagurta (Indian mackerel). Its description in RNAcentral is "partial 12S ribosomal RNA". Lineage: Eukaryota; Metazoa; Chordata; Actinopteri; Scombriformes; Scombridae. The record is from RNAcentral.